Molecule: long non-coding RNA, 1646 nt
Filed under: Monodelphis domestica (gray short-tailed opossum)
Lineage: Eukaryota; Metazoa; Chordata; Mammalia; Didelphimorphia; Didelphidae
Description: lncRNA (ENSMODG00000027471.2)
Source: RNAcentral
GAUCAGAGUAGUCAAGUCUUUCACAGUUGAUCAUCAUUAUAACAUUUCUCUUACAGUGCACAAUGAUCUCACAGUUCUUCUCAUUUCACUUUACAUUAGUUUAUGUAAGUGUUGCCAGAGCGGAGGGAUUAUUUAGAGGGAAGCACAUUGCCAGAAUUUAGGGACUUCCCUCUCUCCCUUAGAGAUCAUCAGAAAAGUCCAAUGUCUGAUGUGGUCAUAGAUCUAGAGCCAGAAGGAUCUCAGAAUCCUAGUCAAGCGCCCUCCCUUUACAGAUAAGGAGACCAAACCCAGGGAAGCUAUGAUCUACCCAAGAUAACAGGUAGUGUCAGAUGUGGGAUCUGAACCCAUGUUCUCCAACUGUAUUCCCAAGACUCUUUCCACUGAUGAGCCAUGUUGACCUAGAAAUUAGUUAAGGGGUGUUAUAAUCGAGGAAUUGUCAGUGUGGUUAAUAUAAAGAGAAGAGAAAGCAGGUCUGAAUUUUCAGAUGGAAUAUGAUGGGUAGAGUUGGUUACAAUCUCUAUUGGUAUGUAAUGGAGUAUGGAAAUAAGAAAACACUGAGGUACAAAGGUUGGGGGUGUCCUCUUUCCUAGGCAACUGUGCUGAAGGUCACUGGUGCAAGGAAGGCUCCUCUAUGAAGAAUCCUACAGAUGGGGUGCUGGGCCUUCUCUGUCCCCCAGGGCACUAUUGUCUCACAGGAACCCCCAGGCCAACUCCAUGCCCACCAGGUACAUGGUCCAAGGAAGGGAACAAGAACAUAGAUGGGUGCCAAGCCUGCACUGGGAGCCAUUUUUGUAACAACAGCAGCCCACCAGCUCUCACCAGACCCAAUACCUUUAAGUUUCAUUGCACUGAGGAGGCUACCCUGGCUUCCCCCACAGAUGAGGAGCCUUGCUACAUUGGAUACUUCUGUCCCCAGGGAAUGAAGCACCCCACCUCUUGCCCCCUUGGCUCCUACCUGCCCUUUAAAAAUCCAGCAGAAUGUCACAUGUGUCCCAGUGGUCAAUACUGUGUCCCAGGGCAGAAGCCACAGCUCUGCCCACAAGGUUUCUACUGCCCUGAAGGGACAGGAGUAGACUGGCAGCCAUGCCCUGCUGGCACGUAUGGUCCCAUGCCUGGUUUAAGCAGUCUGAAGGAGUGCCAAGCCUGCGACAAGGGCAGGUAUUGCCUGAAGGCCAAUGCCACAGAUGUGAGCGGAGAGUGCUGGGCAGGUUACUUCUGCCCAGGAGGAUCAAGGUGGCCAAACCCAGAACCUGGGACGGAAGGUACUAAAGGCUUUCUUCUAGCAGACAAGUCACCUUGGCCUCUGGGUGGAGAAAGAGCCCCAACUAAACUACAGCACAGAGAGCCAGUGAACUUGUUCUAUUCAAAGCAUCUGCAUCUCAGCCAUCCCUCCAUGUCCCCAGACUGUUCACUGAGUGGAUCCCCUGAUAAGCCAGAGCCUUCCUAGAGGAGUAUUCUUCUCCUGGCUCCUUUGAGCUGGGCAAAGUUUUUGUUUCUAUUUUGUGUCACCAUUCCCCUUCCCACCCAACUCUUUCUCUCCACCCAGUUUUGAAAACAAAAUAUAAGAAAGACAAAACCUCAAGAGAAUGAGAAGGAUUCUAUCCCUAGAUUCUAUUCCAGUUUCUGUAACUGGCUUUAGCCAAGCC